AGCCACAGCCAUGUCACCCUGCAGCCCAAGACCGGUUACUUACUGAAGCUAAGCAGGGCUGAGCCUGGUCAGUACCUGGAUGGGAGUCCACUAGAGAACACUAGGUUGCUGUUGGAA
Molecule: non-coding RNA, 117 nt
Organism: Danio rerio (zebrafish)
Lineage: Eukaryota; Metazoa; Chordata; Actinopteri; Cypriniformes; Danionidae
Source: Rfam